UGGAGGAGUGGGUGAACAGCUUCUGGACCCACAUUCAGAGCAGCUUCCCCAUCUGCACCACGUCCUGGGAAUACAAAAUGGCACCGAGUUGUACUUCUGCUCAUUAGAUGUGGGCAAACUUGGCUAGAACACAAGUGCAAAAGCUCAUCUUUCUUCAGCUGCUUGUAAUUCAUGCUUGAGCAAGAACAUUAUUUGGGGCUUAAGUCAGAUUCCUCUAAGUAGGUCACAAUUCUUCUUCUAGACACAAAUUCCUGCCUCCGACUUCUCAGAAACACGGAUUCUCAGCCUCUCCUGAUUUGUGUAACACCUCAGGUGCCCUCUUAUCAUAUUUAUCAGCUCAUCAAAUGAAUCCACAAAACAGUUACUAACUUGCUGCCUGAUAGGGCUCAGACUUGGAAAAGUUCCUCUGCUUUGGUUGGCAGCCAUUUCUCUGGCUCAUUUGCAUGGCUGAUUUUUCCCACUUUAAUGAUGCUUUACUGUUAGCCCUGUAGCCAGGUAAAAUGAUAGAACCUGCAUUUCCUGUGGUCAGUGCAUCAAUGAGAGGGCAAGAAGCUGCAGAAAGAGCCAGGAAGUUCCAGUCCAUAUGGGGCUUGCUCUCUGAAACAGAUUCAAUGCAGUCAAUGCUAUAAAACAGAAUUUAUUUUAGUGGUAUAGAGACUGAUUCCCCAAAUCAUGACAGCAUGUGUUAGACAUUAUUCUAAUUCUUUUGUACAGCACUGUGAGCAUCUUGGACACACCCAAUGCUACAAGGAGAUAAAAGAAUGCAAUGAGACACAGACUAGAAUAGAAGACACUACAGCAGAACACAAUAUAAUGCAAUACAAGGAUGGCACAUUGUGUACAAGGACUGUCGAGGAGGCGAGCACGGGGCCACCUGUGGUCACCAUGGAAACAGCGGGAUUUGCUGACUAUAUUCUUUUCCUUGAUGCAUGUUAAAGACUAUUGGCAAGCAGAGGGACACCUGAGCCAAGACUUGAGUUGAUGAGUAUUGCCCAGAAGAACAAUUAUGUCCUGAACAAAAAUGGGAAAAUUCUUAUGCAUAAAAUUCAGCUGAGCCAUGACCCAUAAAGGACCUCACACUGCUGAUACUGUGUCAGGCAAUCAAGUUACAUAAUUCAACAGUACAAAAAUAACAGAUGCAGUUAGUUUAACUCACUAAAAAUGCUAAACCUAUGAAGGGACAUAGAACAUUCAGAGUCAUCUUUGAGAUCAGAAUGCAGUGAUCACACUCACGUGUGCCCACUCAAAUAAACUGCACCCCCACAAUAAGAAUUCCUCA
This 1279-nucleotide long non-coding RNA is filed under the name Cyanistes caeruleus (blue tit). Its description in RNAcentral is "lncRNA (ENSCCEG00000015259.1)". Lineage: Eukaryota; Metazoa; Chordata; Aves; Passeriformes; Paridae. The record is from RNAcentral.